AAGGCCAUCUCCAACGGAUGACUUUAUCUUCAUAUUUUUGAAGUUAGAGCAAUCAAAACAACUCCAACGCAUGCUGGCUUUAUCUUCAUAUUUGAAGAUAUCAACAUUUUAUCUUCAAAUUUGAAGGAAUACUGUACAACUUUAUCUUCAUUACUAUUUGACCAACUCUCACACAACAUAUAUAUGUAUCUAUCUUUCUAUAUUUUAUUGUAUUAAAUUGAGUUUAAAGUAAAGUUUGAAGGAUUGGUUGGAGAAGAAUAAAGUUUGAAGGGUUGGUUUGAAGAUAAAGAUAGAGACAAG
Molecule: long non-coding RNA, 300 nt
Filed under: Daucus carota (carrot)
Lineage: Eukaryota; Viridiplantae; Streptophyta; Magnoliopsida; Apiales; Apiaceae
Description: long non-coding RNA (DCAR_LNC005556)
Source: RNAcentral